CAGUAGCCGCGGGAAUACAGAGGGUGCGAGCGUUAAUCGGAUUUACUGGGCGUAAAGCGUGCGUAGGCGGCUUUUUAAGUCGGAUGUGAAAUCCCUGAGCUUAACUUAGGAAUUGCAUUCGAUACUGGGAAGCUAGAGUAUGGGAGAGGAUGGUAGAAUUCCAGGUGUAGCGGUGAAAUGCGUAGAGAUCUGGAGGAAUACCGAUGGCGAAGGCAGCCAUCUGGCCUAAUACUGACGCUGAGGUACAAAAGCAUGGGGAGCAAACAGGAUUAGAUACCCCUGUAGUCCCUGUCUCUUAUAC
This 301-nucleotide ribosomal RNA is filed under the name uncultured bacterium. RNAcentral's name for it is "partial 16S ribosomal RNA". It matches the Rfam family "Bacterial small subunit ribosomal RNA", at positions 509 to 807 of the family's 1533-position model. The record is from RNAcentral.